This 253-nucleotide ribosomal RNA is filed under the name uncultured bacterium. RNAcentral's name for it is "partial 16S ribosomal RNA". It matches the Rfam family "Bacterial small subunit ribosomal RNA", at positions 524 to 776 of the family's 1533-position model. The record is from RNAcentral.
UACAGAGGUCUCAAGCGUUGUUCGGAUUCAUUGGGCGUAAAGGGUGCGUAGGCGGCGCGGUAAGUCGGGUGUGAAAUCUCGGGGCUUAACUCCGAAACUGCAUUCGAUACUGCCGUGCUUGAGGACUGGAGAGGAGACUGGAAUUUACGGUGCAGCGGUGAAAUGCGUAGAUAUCGUAAGGAAGACCAGUGGCGAAGGCGGGUCUCUGGGACGGUACUGACGCUGAGACGCGAAAGCGUGGGGAGCGAACAGG